Molecule: ribosomal RNA, 443 nt
Filed under: uncultured bacterium
Lineage: Bacteria
Description: partial 16S ribosomal RNA
Rfam family: Bacterial small subunit ribosomal RNA
Source: RNAcentral
CCUACGGGAGGCAGCAGUGGGGAAUAUUGGGCAAUGGAGGAAACUCUGACCCAGCAACGCCGCGUGAAUGAUGAAGGUCUUCGGAUUGUAAAGUUCUUUUCUAAGGGAAGAAGAAAGUGACGGUACCUUAGGAAUAAGCCUCGGCUAACUACGUGCCAGCAGCCGCGGUAAUACGUAGGAGGCGAGCGUUAUCCGGAAUGACUGGGCGUAAAGGGUGCGUAGGUGGUUUGGCAAGUUAGUAGCGUAACUCCAAGGCUCAACCUUGGAACUACUACUAAAACUGUUGGACUUGAGUGCAGGAGGGGCAACCGGAAUUCCUAGUGUAGCGGUGGAAUGCGUAGAUAUUAGGAGGAACACCAGUGGCGAAGGCGGGUUGCUAGACUGUAACUGACACUGAGGCACGAAAGCGUGGGGAGCAAACAGGAUUAGAUACCCCAGUAGUC